This 599-nucleotide ribosomal RNA is filed under the name uncultured bacterium. Its description in RNAcentral is "bacterial SSU rRNA". It matches the Rfam family "Bacterial small subunit ribosomal RNA", at positions 338 to 961 of the family's 1533-position model. The record is from RNAcentral.
CCUACGGGAGGCAGCAGUGGGGAAUCUUGCGCAAUGGGCGAAAGCCUGACGCAGCAACGCCGCGUGCGGGAAGAAGGCUUUCGGGCUGUAAACCGCUUUCAGCAGGAACGAAAAUGACGGUACCUGCAGAAGAAGGAGCGGCCAACUAUGUGCCAGCAGCCGCGGUGAUACAUAGGCUUCAAGCGUUGUCCGGAUUUAUUGGGCGUAAAGAGUUCGUAGGCGGUCAAGUAAGUCGGGUGUGAAAAUUCUGGGCUCAACCCAGAGACGCCACCCGAUACUGCUUAACUUGAGUUCGAUAGGGGAGUGGGGAAUUCCUAGUGUAGCGGUGAAAUGCGCAGAUAUUAGGAGGAACACCGGUGGCGAAGGCGCCACUCUGGAUCGAUACUGACGCUGAGGAACGAAAGCAUGGGUAGCAAACAGGAUUAGAUACCCUGGUAGUCCAUGCCGUAAACGGUGGGCACUAGGUGUGGGUUUCUAUUAACGAAAUCCGCGCCGUCGCUAACGCAUUAAGUGCCCCGCCUGGGGAGUCAGUCGCAAGCUAAAACUCAAANAGAUAGACGGCGUGAGACGUGCCGACGGACGACGACGAGGGAGGUAGG